GAGGACGUCUGAGCCAUGCUCGCGGCGAUGGGCUCUCUGGCGGCUGCCCUCUGGGCAGUGGUCCAUCCUCGGACUCUCCUGCUGGGCACUGUCGCCUUUCUGCUUGCUGCUGACUUUCUCAAAAGACGGCGCCCAAAGAACUACCCGCCGGGGCCCUGGCGCCUGCCCUUCCUUGGCAACUUCUUCCUUGUGAACUUCGAGCAGUCGCACCUGGAGGUUCAGCUGUUUGUGAAGAAAUAUGGGAACCUUUUUAGCUUGGAGCUUGGUGAUAUAUCUGCAGUUCUUAUUACUGGCUUGCCCUUAAUCAAAGAAGCCCUUAUCCACAUGGACCAAAACUUUGGGAACCGCCCCGUGACCCCUAUACGAGAACAUAUCUUUAAGAAAAAUGGAUUGAUUAUGUCAAGUGGCCAGGUAUGGAAGGAGCAAAGAAGGUUCACUCUGACAGCACUAAGGAACUUUGGUUUAGGAAAGAAGAGCUUAGAGGAACGCAUUCAGGAGGAGGCCCAACACCUCACUGAAGCAAUAAAAGAGGAGAACGGACAGCCUUUUGACCCUCAUUUCAAGAUCAACAAUGCAGUUUCCAAUAUCAUUUGCUCCAUCACCUUUGGAGAACGCUUUGAGUACCAGGAUAGUCGGUUUCAGCAGCUGCUGAAGUUACUGGAUGAAGUCACCUACUUGGAGGCUUCAAAGACAUGCCAGCUCUACAAUGUCUUUCCAUGGAUAAUGAAAUUCCUGCCUGGACCCCACCAAACUCUCUUCAGCAACUGGAAAAAACUAAAAUUGUUUGUUUCUCAUAUGAUUGACAAACACAGAAAGGAUUGGAAUCCUGCAGAAACAAGAGACUUUAUUGAUACUUACCUUAAAGAAAUGUCAAAGCACACAGGCAAUCCUACUUCAAGUUUCCAUGAAGAAAACCUCAUCUGCAGCACCCUGGACCUCUUCUUUGCCGGAACCGAGACAACUUCCACAACUCUGCGAUGGGCUCUGCUUUAUAUGGCCCUCUACCCAGAAAUCCAAGAAAAAGUACACGCUGAGAUUGACAGAGUGAUUGGCCAGGGGCAGCAGACGAGCACAGCCGCCCGGGAGUCCAUGCCCUACACCAAUGCUGUCAUCCAUGAGGUGCAGAGAAUGGGGAACAUCGUCCCCCUGAACGUUCCCAGGGAAGUGACAGUUGAUACCACUUUGGCUGGGUACCACCUGCCCAAGAACAUCUCACCAGACUAGGGAUCUGCCAAACUUUGGGAAAUUCUGCUUCAUGAACCUGGGGUUCUAGAAUGCUAAAAUGUGAAAGGACAUUUAAGACCACCUGGGACAACAUCACAUUAAUGCUGGUGUUUUUAACAUAAUAUCCCCACAGGGUACCAUGAUCCUGACCAAUUUGACGGCGCUGCACAGGGACCCCACAGAGUGGGCCACCCCUGACACAUUCAAUCCGGACCAUUUUCUGGAGAAUGGACGGUUUAAGAAAAGGGAAGCCUUUAUGCCUUUCUCAAUAGGAAAGCGGGCAUGCCUCGGAGAACAGUUGGCCAGGACUGAGCUGUUUAUUUUCUUCACUUCCCUUAUGCAGAAAUUUACCUUCAGGCCCCCAAACAAUGAGAAGCUGAGCCUGAAGUUUAGAAUGGGCAUCACCAUUUCCCCAGUCAGUCACCGCCUCUGCGCUGUUCCUCGGGUGUAAUAUUGUUAAGAAAGAAAGGGGCAAGGAAAGUAAGAAGACAUGGCAUGUGUUCUGAAACCACUGGUGCCUGCUCAGAUGUGUUAGGACAAAAUGAAAGUGACUUUCAAGAAAGAUCAGAGGAAUUUGACUCAGAGAAAACUAGAUCCAAAUCCCAGCUCUACUGUCUCGUCCAGAUUAGCCUUGGGAAAAUCAUUUAUGUGCUAAAUAAUUUACCUUUUUAUCUAGGAGAUGAAAAGAGGAUAAUGAUUCCUUCCAUAAAGAAAGUUCUUGUAAGAAUCAAAAGAUAUGGUGAGCUUUAAGGGGUUUGUAAACCGUAAAGCACAUCAUAAAA
RNAcentral lists this small RNA (2006 nucleotides) under Pongo abelii (Sumatran orangutan). RNAcentral's name for it is "processed transcript". The record is from RNAcentral. Lineage: Eukaryota; Metazoa; Chordata; Mammalia; Primates; Hominidae.